CAGAGAAAGUUGGAAGUAAAUCUUGCGAAGUUAUCGUAACAGAGUUGUUUGACAAAGGCUAGUUGCCCACUGCAAUCCAGAUAAUUCUUAUGAGGUAUUGAUUGCACCAACGAUGCGAUGGUUUAUCCCUUUUCUGAAGCAAUUUCGGGAGAAGAGCCCCAAUGUGUUCAACAUGUGACUGUGAGCAAGGAAACGUGAUGGACAAUGAACAUGAUGAAGUUUAUGACAAACCCAGAUGAAAAUUUAUCAUAUAUCGUGUGAAUAUUUCAGCAAAAAUAUUAUGCUUCAAGUUGUAAAAGCCGUUUCCCAAGGAACCAUCAGAUCAUCAGUACACUAUCAUGACUCAGAGGGCCAAUGACAGUAAACACUUCAGUAAGUCCACCAGGGGAUUGAUGGCAAAAAAAGAAUAUUUUGAAGAAUGAUUUAGAUAUGCUGGCCUCCUCUUUGGACCUAAAUCCAGCUGAUGAAAUUCUAUCUGAAAAAAUAGUGAGAAGCCAAGAACUAUAAUAAUCAACUUCUGUAAAUCAGACAGUGGCAUUAAGGACAUACGCAACGUACCUUACCUACUGAUAAUUUUUCAAGAUAUUGUGAAUUUAAGAUUAUAGUGCCAUCAGAUAUUCGUAAACGAAAAAUCAGCAUGCAAUACCAGGGGUUUUGAAAAGAUAUCAAUUGAUGAAAAUUCUUGUAUAAUUCAAAGAAAAAUAUACAAAAAUUACUAAACAUAUAUUCUACACGUUUUGUCUAUCCAAACUUGUUUUAGAAGAAGUGUACAACAGCAUUUAUAGACAUUAAAAUGUAGCACACAGUUCCAUUAAGUAUCGGAACUCUUCAACUCCAAGGAAAAAGACAAUGAAGUUCAAACUACGUUGCGUAUGUCCUUAAUUAAAACCUGUGUGAUGAAGUGUGCCAAAUUCAUUGAUCACAUACAUGUACAUUUUUAAGUUAUCUUCUAUGUAGAUCUAAAAAGUAAUGUACAGAAUUUAAAGUGGACUUCAAGUGCUUUAUGUAUUGUACAUGAUUACAUAUGAGAUGUAUGAAAAUUCAAAUACAUACCUGCUCUUUUGUACAGUCUUAAAACUGUUCAUAUGAUUGUCCACAUAAUUGAUUUUGUCAAAUAAAUGAACACAUAUAUUUUA
Saccostrea echinata is the source of this 1136-nucleotide long non-coding RNA. RefSeq lists it as uncharacterized. The transcript is spliced from 2 exons. NCBI's taxonomy places the organism in Eukaryota, Metazoa, Mollusca, Bivalvia, Ostreida, Ostreidae. The record is from RefSeq and is a predicted model, not a curated record.